RNAcentral lists this long non-coding RNA (509 nucleotides) under Homo sapiens (human). RNAcentral's name for it is "HSALNT0116906". The record is from RNAcentral. Lineage: Eukaryota; Metazoa; Chordata; Mammalia; Primates; Hominidae.
CCCUGGCCCGCGGGAGCACAUAGGUCUACUCAGGAAACAUCACCACCUAGGCUCUUCCAGACCCUUCCGGACCCUUCCAGACCCUUCUGGAGGUCCUGCUCCCACGUUCGCUCACCUCCUACGCCAGCCUUACUUUCAAAGACGGGAGAAAGGGGGAGCUUUGGACGACCUCAUGGAACAAAGGUGAGGAUGUCUUCACUUUGGUAAUUAAAUGCUUAGAUGUCAUUUUGUGACCUGAUGUCUGUUCCUGCCCCUGCAGCACACAAAUCACUCAAACCUGCACCCUGGCCAGGGUCUGCACCUCCUGCUCCGAGCACUGGCGGUACCUCAUCUCGGGUGCCAGCCUUUUGGCUCUGGAAGCAGCCACAGCUAGGACUGCCGCUGGGAGAGGAGAAAACUUGGUUUGUAGAAGGCAGGAGCAGAGCCUGACUCCAGGAUCCUCCAGGCCUGUGUGGGCACCUUUUAGGGUCCAAAGCCCUCUAGAAACACGCUCCAAAAACCAAAUUCCA